This 344-nucleotide unclassified non-coding RNA is filed under the name soil metagenome. RNAcentral's name for it is "partial contains 5.8S ribosomal RNA, internal transcribed spacer 2, and large subunit ribosomal RNA". The stretch from base 1 to 120 matches the Rfam family "5.8S ribosomal RNA", at positions 35 to 154 of the family's 154-position model. The record is from RNAcentral.
GAUGAAGAACGUAGCGAAAUGCGAUAAGUAAUGUGAAUUGCAGAAUUCAGUGAAUCAUCGAAUCUUUGAACGCACAUUGCGCCCGCCAGCAUUCUGGCGGGCAUGCCUGUACGAGCGUCAUUUCAACCCUCGAGCCCCCCCCGGGGGCCUCGGUGUUGGGGGACGGCACACCAGCCGCCCCCGAAAUGCAGUGGCGACCCCGCCGCAGCCUCCCCUGCGUAGUAGCACACACCUCGCACCGGAGCGCGGAGGCGGUCACGCCGUAAAACGCCCAACUUUCUUAGAGUUGACCUCGGAUCAGGUAGGAAUACCCGCUGAACUUAAGCAUAUCAAUAAGCGGAGGA